RNAcentral lists this ribosomal RNA (1504 nucleotides) under metagenome. RNAcentral's name for it is "bacterial SSU rRNA". It matches the Rfam family "Bacterial small subunit ribosomal RNA". The record is from RNAcentral.
AGAGUUUGAUCCUGGCUCAGAACGAACGCUGGCGGCGUGGAUUAGGCAUGCAAGUCGAACGACUCUUCGGAGUAGUGGCAAAAGGGUGAGUAACACGUGGGUAAUCUACCCUCGGAACUGGGACAACUUGCUGAAAAGCGAGCUAAUACCGGAUAAGACCACUUUUCGCAUGGAAGGUGGCAAAAGGCAGGGACCUCGUAAGAGGCCUGUCAUCUGAGGAUGAGCCCGCGCCCCAUCAGCUUGUUGGUAAGGUAAUGGCUUACCAAGGCAUUUGACGGGUAGCUGGUCUGAGAGGAUGGUCAGUCACACUGGGACUGAGACACUGCCCAGACUCCUACGGGAGGCUGCAGUCGAGAAUCUUUUGCAGUGCGCGAAAGCGUGACAAUGCGACGCCGCGUGAGCGAUGAAGGCCUUCGGGUUGUAAAGCUCUGUCAGGUCGGAAGAAAUGUGAUUAGGAUAAUAUCCUAGUCACUUGACGGUACGACCAAAGGAAGUCACGGCUAACUCCGUGCCAGCAGCCGCGGUAAUACGGAGGUGACUAGCGUUGUUCGGAUUUACUGGGUGUAAAGGGUAUGUAGGUGGCUAGAUAAGUCCCAAUUGAAAUCCUUCGGCUCAACCGAAGAACUGGUUGGGAAACUAUCUGGCUUGAGUUCAGGAGAGGAGAAUGGAAUUCCCGGUGUAAAGGUGAAAUUUGUAGAUAUCGGGAAGAACACCAGUGGCGAAGGCGAUUCUCUGGUCUGAAACUGACACUGAAAUACGAAAGCUAGGGGAGCAAACAGGAUUAGAUACCCUGGUAGUCCUAGCCGUAAACGAUGGGCACUAGGUGUCUGCCUCUUUGAGGUGGGUGCCGGAGUUAACACAUUAAGUGCCCCACCUGGGGACUACGGCCGCAAGGUUGAAACUCAAAGGAAUUGACGGGGACCCGCACAAGCGGUGGAGCAUGUGGUUUAAUACGACGAUACGCGUGGAACCUUACCAGGGCUUGACAUGUACUUGAAAUCCCUAAGAAACUAGGGACCUCCUUUCCAGGACAAGUACACAGGUGUUGCAUGGCUGUCGUCAGCUCGUGUCGUGAGAUGUUGGGUUAAGUCCCGCAACGAGCGCAACCAUCGUUUUUAGUUGCUAACUACGUAAGUAGAGAACUCUAAAGAGACUGCCAGCGUUGAGCUGGAGGAAGGUGGAGAUGACGUCAAGUCAGUAUGGCCCUUACGCCCUGGGCUACACACGUGCUACAAUGGUCAGGACAAAGAGAUGCAAAGCCGCAAGGUCGAGCAAAUCUCAAAAACCAGGUCUCAGUUCGGAUUGAAGGCUGAAAUUCGCCUUCAUGAAGCUGGAAUCGCUAGUAACCGCAGAUCAGCUAUGCUGCGGUGAAUACGUUCCCGGGUCUUGUACACACCGCCCGUCAAGUCACCUGAGUUGAGUGCACCCGAAGCCGCCAUACCAACCGCAAGGGGGAAGGCGUCGAAGGUGUGUUUAGCGAGGAGGACUAAGUCGUAACAAGGUA